Molecule: long non-coding RNA, 1532 nt
Organism: Xiphophorus couchianus (Monterrey platyfish)
Lineage: Eukaryota; Metazoa; Chordata; Actinopteri; Cyprinodontiformes; Poeciliidae
Exons: 3
Source: RefSeq, a predicted model, not a curated record
AGCUGUCAUGGUAACUCAAAGCAGAAAAAAAGAGAGCCGCAUUUGCGCAUGCGGUUGUGACGUCAGUGCAGCAGGCGCAAAGAGCCCAUCUAGUGUAAUAACAUCACACUGCUACAUUUGCUUUACGGGGGGGUAUUGUAAUCCAUAGGGGGACCCAGAAAAAUCUUUGGGAACCACUGAGAUAGUUAGUUAUGUGGAUCGCCUCGACACCAGGUAAAUUCUCAAGAUUAUUAGAGAAGUGUUGGGAACCGGGGUUUUGGUUCUUUGUGGGGAUUUGCUGUUUGCCUGCUGCUUCCCUCUUCGGCCACUAGAUGGUGGUAGAGGCUGCUACACCUUGGAGGGCGUGCCUGCUGACUCAGGUCAGCACACCUGUGAUUCAUCACCUAAUCAUCCAGGAGUAUAUGAGGAGCAGGCUGCCAGCACUGAGUGUUUGCCAGUUAUGGUACUCUGCGCCCCUCUGAGCUUGCUCUCUGUGUUUCUCUGAAAUUACUUUUGGUAAUUAAUCCUUGUUGCCUCUCUCUCUCUCAGGUGUUUCCUUGUGACGCCUUGGAAAUUCCCCUGUGAAGCCCGAGUCCUGACUUUCUGGAUCUCUCCCCUCGUGACGCCGUGGAUUGUUACCCACUGGUUGCCCGAGUUCCUUCCUGGCCUCUGCAGAUCUUCAAUAAACCAUUCCUGGAUUCUCAGCUGGCAGUCGGUUCGCUCCUCGCUCCUCCACACCUGAACUUACCUGUCCGCCCUCCACCGCAGCCUCUACAUCUACCUGCAAAGAACUCACUCAGUCAAGAUCUGACGCUGGAACCCGGAUCACUUCAAGGACACCCACAAAGAGACCAAACCACGGCAUCGGCCCCUGGAGGAAGUCCAUCUUCAUCUCAAGCAGGGGAAGAGGUUGGCGAGCUCCAUGAAGAGUGGCAGCAGGACGAACCUGAUGAAGCCGAUCUGAGAUGAAGGUUUGGUCACUUUGUCUCUGUCCAUGAAGGGACUGACUGGAAGACCCUCCAACUUCUCCACGUCACUCUGAGGACAGAAACUCCUGGAUUCAGUUUACAUUUCGGCCCAGCGGCCAUGUUCUCUGAAGUGUGGAGCAAAAGCAGAACUUGUCCAAGGCUACAAACUAAUCACAGCUCAGGGUGUCUGAUUUUAGUUCAUGUAAUCUACCUGAGAUAAAGGAAAAACUGUAGUGUACCUCUCCUAAUCUACACAGACCUUCCUCCUCCUCCUCUUCCUGAAUAUUGAAUAUUCAGCCGUUCCUUUGAUCUGCAGCUCUAUUCAUAUUCAGAUGAAUGUGAUGCUGAGCAUCCAAACUCUCUCUGACGCCGUCAUACUGGAUAUUAGUUUUCCAUGUGCAGUGGCCAUGUUGGAUCGUGAACCUGGGUGUGGCUCCUGCCUCCAAAUUACUUCAGAAGUUGAAGCCGGAUUAUGUGGUACCUGGUUGAAGAACUCCUGUAACAGGCAGUCCAGCCAGGGCUCGGCCACCUCCAUGGGCCGCGCUUCGUUGGAAAUGUCGCUCACUUUGAUCAGGAUCAUCAUGA